GAAAUGUUUGUUUUCGUUUCUGUCACUAGGCAGCAGGGAACCUGUCGCCUUUGUUCUGGGGGUCAUGCUGCUGGAGAUGGCAAAUAUUGACAUACAUGGAGAUUUCCUGAGAGCUGUGUAUCUUCAGCUCCCAGAAGAUGGCCUCCAUAACUACCAUUGUUGCUGUGAUCAGCAUAUUGAUCUGCAAUGAAACAGCACAACAUCACCUACUUGAAUGUUUCUUUUAUCUUUAGGAUGAAGUCUUGGAGAGCUUAUUUUCAUAGAAAUCUGUUCAGAGACUCAGAAUGCAAAUCAUUAUGCAACUGUACCUUAGUUUCCCUUACCACUGUAAGAACAGCAUGUUUGUUUGUUUUCUGAAGUAAGUGCUGUUUAUCAACCUCCAUCAACUUCCUAGAGUGGCAACAAUUUAAGAAUGUCAGAUGUACCUAUAUAGAGAAUCUAACACUUCAAGAUUAUAAUAGGGGUUUGAAACAGCCUUUGUAUUAGUUAAUUAGAUUGCAUGUAGCAUGGUAAUGAGGUCACAGGGACUCUUUUGAUGACCUUUGUUAUAAAUAGCCAUUAAUUAAUGUAUAAUUAAUCUGCACAUUCAUCAGAGACAUUGCAUUUGAGCUGUACAUGAAAACAAAAUUAGAAAACAUCAUUUUCUAUGAUGUAGAUGAUUGUUGAUUAAAUGGCUACUGUAUCUAGAUGAUUCCCAAAUCAUCAGACUAAUAAACUAUGAAGGUAAUCAGAUAACAAUGAUUUGUACAGUAUUAUAGUUUGCUCUGUGCACGUGUCUGAUGACUACAAGCUAAAUCAUCAAGCAGCUGCUUGAACACAAUGCAGACCCGUCAAGACAUCCUAAAACAGCAUCCCGUGUUUACAAACCCAGGGUCUUACCUCUGCUAAAGUUUGGAUUUCAUGAGGAGGA
Oxyura jamaicensis (ruddy duck) is the source of this 910-nucleotide long non-coding RNA. RefSeq lists it as uncharacterized. NCBI's taxonomy places the organism in Eukaryota, Metazoa, Chordata, Aves, Anseriformes, Anatidae. The record is from RefSeq and is a predicted model, not a curated record. The transcript has 3 exons.